Molecule: unclassified non-coding RNA, 149 nt
Filed under: uncultured fungus
Lineage: Eukaryota; Fungi
Also listed under: 1 other name
Description: sequence contains ITS2
Source: RNAcentral
UCAAACAUCAAGCCCAGCUUGGUAUUGGGUGUCGUCCCCUGGGACGCACCUGGAAAUCAGCGGCGGUGCAGCCGGAACACCAGCGUAGUAACUACUCCCGCUCGGUGGCUUCGGGUGCUUCAGCCGGAUGACCCCCCUAAUCACAUCAC